RNAcentral lists this transfer RNA (75 nucleotides) under Nanobdellati archaeon. Its description in RNAcentral is "DPANN group archaeon (hydrothermal vent metagenome) tRNA-Met". It matches the Rfam family "tRNA". From Rfam's summary of the family: Transfer RNA (tRNA) molecules are approximately 80 nucleotides in length. Lineage: Archaea; Nanobdellati. The record is from RNAcentral.
GCCGGGAUAACUCAGUCCGGUUAGAGUGCCACGCUCAUACCGUGGAUGUCGGGGGUUCAAAUCCCCUUCCCGGCA